ACAUUACACUCGGCUGCAAGAACUACUCCUUCCUCAAACGGCCCAGGAGAUGGCUACUAAAGUUCUUUUUCAUUGAUGUGGUUGGCACUGACAACUUGUUGCUACUCCCAGUUGCCCUGAGGACAUGGUGCUUGCCAGGCAACUGAAAGGUCAUUCAGAGUCACCCACAUUGGUCGAGAGGCUGGAGUCACACGACAGCAGCAACUCGAAGGGCAGGAGCUUGGACCAGGGGCCUGUUGUGAGCAGUGAGUCACUGAUUUGAGCUUUUAUAUUUAAAAUCAGAGACCAGAGGUUUCUGGAAA
Hemiscyllium ocellatum (epaulette shark) is the source of this 302-nucleotide long non-coding RNA. RefSeq lists it as uncharacterized. The transcript has 3 exons. Lineage: Eukaryota; Metazoa; Chordata; Chondrichthyes; Orectolobiformes; Hemiscylliidae. The record is from RefSeq and is a predicted model, not a curated record.